CGCACCUAAAAAAAUGUUUGAAAGGGACGACAGGUUUCAAGGAACGCGAGGAAAAUUAUGAGCUCAACGGGAUGGGAAUGCCGAGCCGGGCCAAAGAAAGCAACAAAUUGCGGCACCUGUACUUUAUGGAGGAACAAGCGAGAUGAUUUGUUGAGGGGCCCUGGGGAGCCAGCGAGCGCGCCUUGAAAACAGGUGACGCAACAUCACACCGCAGCGUGCCUUCGGGGAAUAUUUGUAGACGUGACGGAAACGCACCAAAAACAAAACACCAGACGCAAACGCGAGCGAAGCGUUGAGAAAUGAUGUAAUCAAGCCGUCCUUCCUACCUAGCAGCGCUCCAUCCAUCCGCUCUAAAGGCCUGGCGGUCCCUUUGGCCUCGCUCUGGAUCAAGUCCCCCACAAGGCCCCCCCUGACCCCGUUAGAGGCACAUGAUGGGCGGCCCUGUCACUUCAAAUGGCUGCCCGGGUCCGGCGCGAGCCUCACCC
Molecule: long non-coding RNA, 485 nt
Organism: Syngnathus acus (greater pipefish)
Lineage: Eukaryota; Metazoa; Chordata; Actinopteri; Syngnathiformes; Syngnathidae
Exons: 3
Source: RefSeq, a predicted model, not a curated record